UACGAAGGGGGCUAGCGUUGCUCGGAUUUACUGGGCGUAAAGGGCGCGUAGGCGGAUAUCCAAGUCAGAGGUGAAAGCCCAGGGCUCAACCCUGGAAUUGCCUUUGAAACUCGAUGUCUGGAGUACGGGAGAGGUGAGUGGAACUCCGAGUGUAGAGGUGAAAUUCGUAGAUAUUCGGAAGAACACCAGUGGCGAAGGCGACUCACUGGCCCGUUACUGACGCUGAGGCGCGAAAGCGUGGGGAGCAAACAGG
RNAcentral lists this ribosomal RNA (253 nucleotides) under uncultured bacterium. RNAcentral describes it as "partial 16S ribosomal RNA". It matches the Rfam family "Bacterial small subunit ribosomal RNA", at positions 524 to 776 of the family's 1533-position model. The record is from RNAcentral.